CCUACGGGUGGCAGCAGUGAGGAAUAUUGGUCAAUGGGCGGGAGCAUGAACCAGCCAAGUCGCGUGAGGGAAGACGGUCCUAUGGAUUGUAAACCUCUUUAGGCGGGGAGCAAUGCCGGGCACGCGUGCCCGGAGGGAGAGUACCCGCAGAAUAAGCAUCGGCUAACUACGUGCCAGCAGCCGCGGUAAUACGUAGGGGGCAAGCGUUAUCCGGAUUUACGGGGUGUAAAGGGAGCGUAGACGGCUGUGCAAGUCUGAAGUGAAAGCCCGUGGCUCAACCGCGGAACUGCUUUGGAAACUGUAUAGCUUGAGUACUGGAGAGGCAGGCGGAAUUCCUAGUGGAGCGGUGAAAUGCGUAGAUAUUAGGAGGAACACCAGUGGCGAAGGCGGCCUGCUGGACAGAAACUGACGUUGAGGCUCGAAAGCGUGGGGAGCAAACAGGAUUAGAUACCCUGGUAGUC
RNAcentral lists this ribosomal RNA (461 nucleotides) under uncultured bacterium. Its description in RNAcentral is "partial 16S ribosomal RNA". It matches the Rfam family "Bacterial small subunit ribosomal RNA", at positions 338 to 795 of the family's 1533-position model. The record is from RNAcentral.